Haliotis rubra (blacklip abalone) is the source of this 612-nucleotide long non-coding RNA. RefSeq lists it as uncharacterized. The transcript is spliced from 3 exons. NCBI's taxonomy places the organism in Eukaryota, Metazoa, Mollusca, Gastropoda, Lepetellida, Haliotidae. The record is from RefSeq and is a predicted model, not a curated record.
GAGAGACGACAGGUCCAUAUGAUACACUGCUUAGAAGGAACGACGAGAGACGACAGGUCCAUAUGAUACACUGCUUAGAAGGAACGACGAGAGACGACAGGUCCAUAUGAUACACUGCUUAGAAGGAACGACGAGAGACGACAGGUCCAUAUGAUACACUGCUUAGAAGGAACGACGAGAGACGACAGGUCCAUAUGAUACACUGCUUAGAAGGAACGACGAGAGACGACAGGUCCAUAUGAUACACUGCUUAGAAGGAACGACGAGAGACGACAGGUCCAUAUGAUACACUGCUUAGAAGGAACGACGAGAGACGACAGGUCCAUAUGAUACACUGCUUAGAAGGAACGACGAGAGACGACAGGUCCAUAUGAUACACUGCUUAGAAGGAACGACGAGAGACGACAGGUCCAUAUGAUACACUGCUUAGAAGGAAUGACGAGAGACGACAGGUCCAUAUGAUACACUGCUUAGAAGGAACGACGAGAGACGACAGGUCCAUAUGAUACACUGCUUAGCAGGAACGACGAGAGACGACAGGUCCAUAUGAUACACUGCUUAGAAGGAAGUCUCAGAUAUGGCCAUGGCCAUGACAAAUUUUGCUGUUACUGU